UUUCGGACGACCGCUGGCGGCAUUCCUAACACAUGCAAGUCGAGCGCGCCUUCGGGUGAGCGGCGGACGGGUUAGUAACGCGUGGGAACGUGCCCUUCUCUACGGAAUAGCCUCUGGAAACGGAGAGUAAUACCGUAUACGCCCUUUGGGGGAAAGAUUUAUCGGAGAAGGAUCGGCCCGCGUUAGAUUAGGUAGUUGGUGGGGUAACGGCCUACCAAGCCUACGAUCUAUAGCUGGUUUUAGAGGAUGAUCAGCAACACUGGGACUGAGACACGGCCCAGACUCCUACGGGAGGCAGCAGUGGGGAAUCUUAGACAAUGGGGGCAACCCUGAUCUAGCCAUGCCGCGUGAGUGAUGAAGGCCUUAGGGUCGUAAAGCUCUUUCGCCUGUGAUGAUAAUGACAGUAGCAGGUAAAGAAACCCCGGCUAACUCCGUGCCA
Molecule: ribosomal RNA, 439 nt
Filed under: uncultured marine bacterium
Lineage: Bacteria
Description: bacterial SSU rRNA
Rfam family: Bacterial small subunit ribosomal RNA
Source: RNAcentral